AUGACAUCAAGAUUGGAAUGUUUGGAAUCAUCAGCUCUUUUAGUUUCACUGAAGGCAGAUCCUGGAAGACUGCAGCAGAGUUCCACUGUUGCCGAGGAGACAGCUGUCAAUCAUCAGCAGCUGCUGGAACGCUCCAUUGAGACGCUUCAGGGGGAGCUCAGCUGUGCUGUGAAAGAUGGAGAGACCCUGAGAGAAGAGAGACAUCAGAUAAAGAGGAAGGUGGAGAUGACCACGGUGAACUCAGCACUGCAGAAACAGAAGGAGGACAACAAGGAGCUGAUGGAGAGCCUGGCAGCCUUCAGCAUCAGCAGGUAA
RNAcentral lists this long non-coding RNA (315 nucleotides) under Carassius auratus (goldfish). RNAcentral's name for it is "lncRNA (ENSCARG00000042193.1)". Lineage: Eukaryota; Metazoa; Chordata; Actinopteri; Cypriniformes; Cyprinidae. The record is from RNAcentral.